Molecule: long non-coding RNA, 357 nt
Filed under: Selaginella moellendorffii
Lineage: Eukaryota; Viridiplantae; Streptophyta; Lycopodiopsida; Selaginellales; Selaginellaceae
Description: long non-coding RNA (SMOE_LNC001998)
Source: RNAcentral
GUCGAAGUGACGUUAGUUAGGAUCACGCUUCUGACAAAAGUCUAUUUCUUUUUCUCUUCUCUCGCUGUUUGGCGUAUCACAGCGAUUUAAUCCUGCUUCGAUCGUGGACGUCACCAUGACAUUUGAGCUUGAUCUUACAGAAGGCAUGAUCCUCGUCAUUCCUCCUCACUGAACUUGUCGUAGCCGACGCAGUAAACAACGUUCCACCACAAGCACGUCUUGAGAUCAUUGAGCAGAGCAGAUCUGAUGUCUUGCUCUUGAUUCCCGAGGCUUUCGGUAGCUACGUUGAUCUGGAUGAGACUUCUCUGGGAAUCUCUGGGAAGUCUUUGGAAGCCUCUGGCACUGCGUUGUGGAAAC